UGGAAGUGAGGCUGAGGGGCGUAUGCCAUUAUGCGUUUGCUUUGGCCCCUCAGCCUCACUUCCA
Molecule: microRNA precursor, 64 nt
Filed under: Paramuricea clavata
Lineage: Eukaryota; Metazoa; Cnidaria; Anthozoa; Malacalcyonacea; Plexauridae
Source: RNAcentral